AGAAGUUGCGUUACACUCAACUUACAUAAUUCGUCUCUGACAGCUGACCACGGAGGUACUGGCAGUUGUUGUCGAGACGGGUCGAGGAAGGUCGGUGCGGUUUCGCCCCGGCCUUUUUCUUU
RNAcentral lists this small RNA (122 nucleotides) under Rhizobium metallidurans. RNAcentral's name for it is "Alphaproteobacterial sRNA ar35". It matches the Rfam family "Alphaproteobacterial sRNA ar35". Lineage: Bacteria; Pseudomonadati; Pseudomonadota; Alphaproteobacteria; Hyphomicrobiales; Rhizobiaceae. The record is from Rfam by way of RNAcentral.